UACGUAGGGUGCAAGCGUUGUCCGGAAUCAUUAGGCGUAAAGAGCGUGUAGGCGGUUCGAUCAGUCUGCUGUGAAAGUCCAGGGCUCAACCCUGGGAUGCCGGUGGAUACUGUCGAACUAGAGUCCGGAAGGGGCGAGUGGAAUUCCUGGUGUAGCGGUGAAAUGCGCAGAUAUCAGGAGGAACACCGAUGGCGAAGGCAGCUCGCUGGGACGGUACUGACGCUGAGACGCGAAAGCGUGGGGAGCAAACAGG
This 253-nucleotide ribosomal RNA is filed under the name uncultured bacterium. RNAcentral describes it as "partial 16S ribosomal RNA". It matches the Rfam family "Bacterial small subunit ribosomal RNA", at positions 524 to 776 of the family's 1533-position model. The record is from RNAcentral.